CCUACGGGGGGCAGCAGUGGGGAAUAUUGCACAAUGGGGGAAACCCUGAUGCAGCGACGCCGCGUGAGUGAAGAAGUAUUUCGGUAUGUAAAGCUCUAUCAGCAGGGAAGAAAAUGACGGUACCUGAGUAAGAAGCCCCGGCUAACUACGUGCCAGCAGCCGCGGUAAUACGGAGGGGGCAAGCGUUAUCCGGAUGUACGGGGUGUAAAGGGAGCGUAGACGGCAGCGCAAGUCUGGAGGGAAAUGCCGGGGCUUAACCCCGGGACGGCUUUGGAAACUGUGCAGCUAGAGUGCAGGAGAGGUAAGUGGAAUUCCUAGUGUAGCGGUGAAAUGCGUAGUUAUUAGGAGGAACACCAGUGGCGAAGGCGACUUACUGGACUGUAACUGACGUUGAGGCUCGAAAGCGUGGGGAGCAAACAGGAUUAGAUACCCUAGUAGUC
RNAcentral lists this ribosomal RNA (440 nucleotides) under uncultured bacterium. RNAcentral describes it as "partial 16S ribosomal RNA". It matches the Rfam family "Bacterial small subunit ribosomal RNA", at positions 338 to 795 of the family's 1533-position model. The record is from RNAcentral.